GAUCAAUGAUGAAAAUAGCCAAAUCUGAGCAUCAGAAGACCUUCUUAGUCGAUCUGAUACAUGAUGUCUGUUGUUUAAAA
Molecule: small nucleolar RNA, 80 nt
Filed under: Dasypus novemcinctus (nine-banded armadillo)
Lineage: Eukaryota; Metazoa; Chordata; Mammalia; Cingulata; Dasypodidae
Description: Small nucleolar RNA U2-19 (ENSDNOG00000026690.1)
Rfam family: Small nucleolar RNA U2-19
About the family: U2-19 is a member of the C/D class of snoRNA which contain the C (UGAUGA) and D (CUGA) box motifs.
Source: RNAcentral